Molecule: long non-coding RNA, 444 nt
Filed under: Macaca mulatta (Rhesus monkey)
Lineage: Eukaryota; Metazoa; Chordata; Mammalia; Primates; Cercopithecidae
Description: lncRNA (ENSMMUG00000052063.1)
Source: RNAcentral
GAAAGGACGUGGUCGACUCCCAGUCAGUACCACCGGGGGUGACGCCGUCUCUGGUCUGCUGCAGGAACACUGGUCCAGUGCUCCCCGGCGGGUAACGGUGGCUGAUUAAGGAUCCUCUCCAAGCACGCUCACCUGCUUCUCUUCUCGCUGACACACGGGCUUCUGACAACUUUUCCAAUUGCACAAGGUCAUUUUUGAGGCUUCAUUCCCUCCCCCACGAAACUGAUCUCUGCUCAGAGCCCUGGAAAGCAAGUCUCAGUGGAAAGCCAAGUGGGCCGCAGACAGCAGACACAGUUCCUCAGCCUGGUCAGUUGCUCCUGAGAUGGUGGGUGAGUCAGAACGUGUGUCUCUAUUUGUCAAGUGGUGGUUAAGCCAGGCAUUAUCUGAGGUGCCUCACAGAGUUAAUAUUCUUUGCUUUGAACUUGCCGCCAAAUAGUUCAUAGG